AAUAGGAAGGCAGGUCCAUCCGGGACUACCGGCACAAAGGUCGUCUACAUCUCCGAUGACAACUAAUAGUAGGUUUUAGCUAUGUAGUGAAAGGUAGCUUUUGGUUGCAUGGUGUAGUACGGAUUUGAGGUUACGUGGUUGCACCGAACGCAAAAUGAGGGGUAACCAGGCCAUUUCCGCCUUUGCGCCCGGAGGCGUCCACAGACGUAUAGAGGACCGGAUUAGCUAGGUCUGGCUGCAGAUGCUCUUAUAGAUGUAUUUCUUUGAGGCAAUCUUAUUUUUUGAGGCACUUUGACUCUAGCAUACAGUUUUUUUUAGGCAACUCUAGCAUAGAGUUGCUCUUAAAUAUUGCGAAACAUCAUCACAGACUGUUGCGGUAAGUUCGGCCCAACUCCUCCUUCCUCGGGUCUGGGCCGCUACUCCCACUGUCCUGACCGGCCUCUGCGUCCUCGGCAACAAAAAAACACCGCGGCAUGGCGCGUUUGCAGAGCCUCGCCGCCCUCGCCGCGGCGGCGGCGGCCGCCGUCCUCGCAGGCAGUUCGCAGGUACUCCCUCUUCCCCCUAACCUCGUGGAUCCAAGUGUCAAACACUUGCCUCUCCUUCCUCAUCGGUGCACCUACUCUCCGCAGGCCUGCUCCACAAACGCAAGUGCGGCCGCUUGACCGCGCGGCUGCGGGAGCUAGAGGACUCCCUGGCCGACGCCGUGGAGAAGGCCGCCGCAGGAUUCGGGCUCAGCAGGUCGGUCCCCCACGAAGCUCCGCACCGCAGGUUCAACUUUGCGCAUUUAACUCUCGAUUCUGGCAGUCACUACGGAGGGCCCUCAGCGAGCAGGGGGGCAGCCCGGAUAGGGGGAAGCCGGCCAAGGCCCCGGCGUUGUACCCGAUGUCGGCGACCGGCACCGUGCAGUCCUGCUUCUCCACCAGGCCAGUAGUUCUUUUACCCCUGGAAAUGACAGUUGACCCAUUGCUGGACAUAACUAUGCUUGUCUCAGAAAUAAAUUAUCAAUGCAAUCAAAAGGGAAGAAGUUGAAGCAACUCCAGUAAGUAUGAAUAGUCCCCUGAAGUUCGCAAACGAAUCUGAGAACCCCGGGGUACCUGUGUGGACUCUCCUGGCCAGAUCACAGGAUAUAGGUCAUGCGCUGAGCCCGAAAGUGCUGUUGCAGGUUUGGUUUUAUUUAAUUGCUGUGAGAUUCCAUUUUGUGCAGUCCAGAAUCCAAUUUCUCUCCAUCCUUUCCCUAUCACAUUUAUUAUUUGAAAUGUUGAAAUUUGCAGCUGCCUGUCUGAAAGGUCAAAAUUGCCACUGAGGCCUUCAAAUUGAUUCUGCAAGAUUUCUUGUAAUAGUUUUGGACCAUUACUAGAUGUUUCAAGGUUUCCAAGCUUGUUGAGUUUCUUGUGACACCUGGUUUUGUAAAUGUGGCAUUUUUAAGUCCAACUUUUUCUGCAGCUUGUGCUACUACCCAGAUUGUAUCAUAGCUCCACAUUCCAAAGGUGCUUAAUUUCAACGUUGGAAGCUGACACAUACAACAAUAUGCUCAUUAUAUGAGCAACAAAACUGGCACCUGUGAGUGAGUCAUUGUUUCUUCUCUGCACACUAACAAGUCAACCACUGCAGACCAAAAUUCUGAACACCAGAUUUGCCAACUAUUACCAUUACAGUAGCUAAAAGUUGCAAUUCUUGAUUUUCAGGGUGUGUCAUCGUUUCAUUUACCUUUUGUAUCGUGUUUUUAAUACAUCAAAUUUCAUGUCGUAAUAAUGCAAACUUUGUGCUUGUUGUUAGAGCUCUUCUGCAUGUCGGUUUACCCAUAACCACUUACGAGUACAUCCACAAUCCCAACCCAACUGAGCUAGGCUCAGGUCCUAAGAUGCACAAUUGACGGACGGAGUGCUCAGUUAGUCCAUUUCAGCAGUAAAAGUGUAAAGCAGAAUAAGCCAAUGCAGUGAACUCAUGACAAGAGUUCAGAGCACGUACCUUGAGAUGCAGCUCGGACAUCAUCCCUCAUGGAAUCUCUGAUGUGGAGGACUAGCUUGGUGCUAUAGUUGUGAUGAACAGCAUAGAAGUCCUCCAUAGCCAAUGAAAUGCUGGUCCGUGCUAUUUUGCCAACCAUGGUCUCCAAGUCAAGGAUAACGCCGACAUGGAGUUCCUGUGCUGCCCUAGAAGCAUUUUGGGCGACGACAAAGUUAAGUGGCAGCAAGAGGAGCAGGAUGACUCUACAUGCAAUCUCCAUCUGCUGAGCCAGAGGUUUGCAGACUCUUCUUGCAUUCAGGGGGUGUGGUUAUAUAGACGUUUUUACAGUAGUCCCUGUCCGAGGGUCAGUCAAGCAUUCAAACUGUAGUUUUAGUAUGACGGUGAGCUCAUUUAUUGAGUGGUAUGAAGCGCUGUUUCUAACCUGUGAAUUGCUUGGUAAAAAGGAUUUUGACGAGGUGCUCGAUACAAUUGGUGCCAUCAGUUUGAAGACCUCGCAAGUCAUUAUUCUAUAGACAUUCAUCCAGUGAUCUGUUCUCGGUAAUUUACUCCGCUUACUAAUGCUGGUUAGUCCCGCAAAAAAUGCAACUUUACUUGAAACUCAUUUGCGUCUUAUUGGGCGAUGAAAUGGUCUCACCAUCAAGUUAUUUCUCAAAGCCAGUCACACAGGCUCCUACUGCACAUCUUCCCGGCUGGCGCAUCUGACGGUUGACUUGACUGUACCAGUGAAAUGGUCUACUAUGUACUCCAGUUAGGAUUGGCUCAAUGUGUUAUCGUUUACCCCAGUUGGCAUUUGAUAUAGUAGUUGUUCUCGCUUGUCAGCAGAACGUACAUGUUCAACUUGGAACAAGUCCUACAGCCUGAUCUCACCACUAUGAUUUCUUUCGCUCUUGUUGAUGCAGGGGACAAGAAGUGCUGAUGUCAGAUGGUUUCCCCUGUUAUGAAGCACGGCAGUGCGCCAGUGCCGCAGUAACCUGGUGCAUGGGUCGCGAGACGUCUGCGUAGAAGCCCGCUGCAGUUUUUUGCGAAGCUGAUACGGGACGGCACUGUUUAUGAUCCGGCACCGAGGAGGCCUGUUGAACGGCAAAGGGCAAGUGAGACGGCGAGAAAAAAGAAAGCUCAGUCAGAGCUGGUCGCCGCAGAUGGGGCUUCUGACAACGGUGAGCUGGUGGCGCGCGGGUGCCGGCGUGGCGAUCCGUGAAGAGCAAGGCCGCGCGGUGGGUGAUUUGGUGGCUCGCCGGUGGUGUGUGCAUGCAACGCACUGAAGGAACCCGACUGGCUAGCACGGGAUGAGCCGCGCUGCUUCUGUUGGCAUGCUGCAACCUGCGGGGCUAGCUCCAGAUCGGUGACGGCUUGUGCACGACAAGCAAAAGAGCCGGUGGACCUCCGUGAACUGAUUGGCAUAAUUAUGUGUGUGCGUGUGUGUGGCUGACUCAGAUUCCUGCCUGUACCUUGUAGAUGACCCAAAGUGCAAAACCUCUCCCAGGAGAGAAAAGGAGAGGAUGAAUUGUUUUAAAGAAAUCAGGGGAGAAUUUUUGA
Molecule: non-coding RNA, 3501 nt
Organism: Aegilops tauschii subsp. strangulata
Lineage: Eukaryota; Viridiplantae; Streptophyta; Magnoliopsida; Poales; Poaceae
Source: RefSeq, a predicted model, not a curated record